AGUGAACGCUGGCGGUAGGCCUAACACAUGCAAGUCGAACGGCAGCACAGUAAGAGCUUGCUCUUACGGGUGGCGAGUGGCGGACGGGUGAGGAAUACAUCGGAAUCUACUUUUUCGUGGGGGAUAACGUAGGGAAACUUACGCUAAUACCGCAUACGACCUACGGGUGAAAGCAGGGGAUCUUCGGACCUUGCGCGAUUGAAUGAGCCGAUGUCGGAUUAGCUAGUUGGCGGGGUAAAGGCCCACCAAGGCGACGAUCCGUAGCUGGUCUGAGAGGAUGAUCAGCCAAACCGGAACUGAGACACGGUCCAGACUCCUACGGGAGGCAGCAGUGGGGAAUAUUGGACAAUGGGCGCAAGCCUGAUCCAGCCAUACCGCGUGGGUGAAGAAGGCCUUCGGGUUGUAAAGCCCUUUUGUUGGGAAAGAAAAGCAGCAGGUUAAUACCCCGCUGUUCUGACGGUACCCAAAGAAUAAGCACCGGCUAACUUCGUG
Molecule: ribosomal RNA, 492 nt
Filed under: uncultured bacterium
Lineage: Bacteria
Description: partial 16S ribosomal RNA
Rfam family: Bacterial small subunit ribosomal RNA
Source: RNAcentral